RNAcentral lists this ribosomal RNA (492 nucleotides) under uncultured bacterium. RNAcentral's name for it is "partial 16S ribosomal RNA". It matches the Rfam family "Bacterial small subunit ribosomal RNA", at positions 29 to 507 of the family's 1533-position model. The record is from RNAcentral.
AGUGAACGCUGGCGGUAGGCCUAACACAUGCAAGUCGAACGGCAGCACAGUAAGCGCUUGCUCUUACGAGUGGCGACUAGCGGACGGGUGAGGAAUACAUCGGCUUCUACUUUUUCGUGGGGGAUAUCGUAGGGCAACUUACGCUACUACCGCAUAAGACUUACGACUGAAUGCAGGGGUUCUUCGUACCUUGCCCGCACGCAUGGGCGGAGGUCGGUUUUGUUAGUUGGUGGGGAAAAGACCCACCAAGGCGACGAUCCGUACCUGGUCUGCGAGGUUGAUCAGCAAAAUUGGAACGGGAAAACGGUCCAGAUCCCUCCGGGAGGCACCGUUGGGGAAUAUUGGACAAUGGGCGAAAGCCUGAUCAAGCCAUACCGCGUGGGGGAAGAAGGCCUUCGAGUGUUAAAGCCCGUUUGUUGGGAAAGAAAAUCAGCAGGUUAAUACCCCGCUGUUCUGACGGUACCCAAAGAAUAAGCACCGGCUAACUUCGUG